This 356-nucleotide transfer-messenger RNA is filed under the name bovine gut metagenome. It matches the Rfam family "transfer-messenger RNA". From Rfam's summary of the family: Bacterial tmRNA, also known as 10Sa RNA or SsrA, is named for its dual tRNA and mRNA-like properties. Its role is to liberate the mRNA from a stalled ribosome. The record is from RNAcentral.
GGGGGUGUACCGGAUUCGACUGGGCGAAAAAGGGAAAGUAUAAGCAUACCGUAGGACUCGGCUACGUUAAAACGAUAAACCAAAUUUAAAUGCGAAUAAUAACGAAUUUGCACUCGCUGCUUAAUUAACGCAGCGAUGUCGCUUUGCGGAAAUCCCGUCGGCUGCAAAGCGGCAUCAUUCAAGACGGGGAACGGCUUUUAUGUUUUGAUUGCGGCAUAACGGCGGCACUUAGUAAUAUACGGCAAAAAUAGUCGGUAUACAGACAGUUUUUGCAAGAGAUUAAAAGUAUACUAAGUAUGUAGAAGGCUUUUCGGUUUUUACUCAAGACAGGGGUUCAACCCCCCUCACCUCCACCA